This is a non-coding RNA of Tinamus guttatus (white-throated tinamou), 227 nucleotides long. The record is from RefSeq and is a predicted model, not a curated record. Lineage: Eukaryota; Metazoa; Chordata; Aves; Tinamiformes; Tinamidae.
UCAGUGACUUUGAAACUGCAGCUAAAUAUGUAUGCAAGACCAUGGAAAUCACACCAGGAAGUAGCCCUUUUCUCUGCAUGGACCUCACAUACAUCACCUGGCUUCUGCAAGAACUAGGCUUUGCCAAGAGCCAAGUCUUCAAGCUUGCACGGAAAAUUGACAACGUUGAAACAAGCUGGGCUCUGGGAGCCACUUUUCAUUACAUUGACUCACUCAACAGACUGCAG